This 501-nucleotide ribosomal RNA is filed under the name uncultured bacterium. RNAcentral's name for it is "bacterial SSU rRNA". It matches the Rfam family "Bacterial small subunit ribosomal RNA", at positions 28 to 573 of the family's 1533-position model. The record is from RNAcentral.
AACGAACGCUGGCGGCAUGCCUAGCACAUGCAAGUCGAACGCCCUGGUUCGCCAGGGAGUGGCGCACGGGUGAGUAACGCGUGGGAACCUGCCCGGCAGUACGGGACAACCGCGGGAAACUGCGGCUAAUACCGUAUACGGCCUGAGGGCGAAAGAAAUUCGCUGUCGGAGGGGCCCGCGUCGGAUUAGGUAGUUGGUGGGGUAACGGCCUACCAAGCCUGCGAUCCGUAGCUGGUCUGAGAGGAUGAUCAGCCACACUGGGACUAAGACACGGCCCAGACUCCUACGGGAGGCAGCAGUGGGGAAUAUUGGACAAUGGGCGCAAGCCUGAUCCAGCAAUGCCGCGUGAGUGAUGAAGGCCUUAGGGUUGUAAAGCUCUUUCGCCCGCGACGAUGAUGACGGUAGCGGGAGAAGAAGCCCCGGCUAACUCCGUGCCAGCAGCCGCGGUAAUACGGAGGGGGCGUAGCGUUGUUCGGAAUUACUGGGCGUAAAGGGCGCGCA